CUACGGGAGGCAGCAGUAGGGAAUAUUGCUCAAUGGGCGAAAGCCUGAAGCAGCAACGCCGCGUGUGCGAUGAAGGUCUUCGGAUCGUAAAGCACUUUUCUGGGAGAUGAGAAAGGACAGUAUCCCAGGAAUAAGCCUCGGCUAACUACGUGCCAGCAGCCGCGGUAAAACGUAGGAGGCGAGCGUUAUCCGGAUUUACUGGGCGUAAAGCGCGUGCAGGCGGUUCGGCAAGUUGGGUGUGAAAUCUCCCGGCUCAACUGGGAGGAGUCGCUCAAUACUACCGGACUUGAGGGCAGUAGAGGAAGGUGGAAUUCCCGGUGUAGUGGUGAAAUGCGUAGAUAUCGGGAGGAACACCAGUGGCGAAAGCGGCCUUCUGGACUGUACCUGACGCUCAUACGCGAAAGCUAGGGGAGCGAACGGGAUUAGAUACCCCGGUAGC
This 439-nucleotide ribosomal RNA is filed under the name uncultured bacterium. RNAcentral's name for it is "bacterial SSU rRNA". It matches the Rfam family "Bacterial small subunit ribosomal RNA", at positions 339 to 794 of the family's 1533-position model. The record is from RNAcentral.